GAGUUUGAUCCUGGAUCACGAUGAACGCUAGCGGCAGGCUUAACACAUGCAAGUCCAGGGGUAACAGGGAUUGCUUGCAAUCCGCUGACGACCGGCGCACGGGUGCGUAACGCGUAUGGAACCUACCUUUUACUGAGGGAUAGCCUUUAUAAAUGAACAUUAAUACCUCAUGGCAUCACUUAAUGGCAUCACUUAAUGAUUAAAGAUUUAUUGUUAAAAGAUGGUUAUGCGUCCUAUUAUUGAGAUGGAGAGGUAACGGCUCCCCAUGGCAUCGAUAGGUAGGGGCCCUGAGAGGGAGAUCCCCCACACUGGUACUGAGACACGGACCAGACUCCUACGGGAGGCAGCAGUGAGGAAUAUUGGACAAUGGGCGCAAGCCUGAUCCACCCAUGCCGCGUGCACGAAGACUGCCCUAUGGGUUGUAAACUGCUUUUAUACGGGAAGAAACACCCCUACCUGUAGGGGCUUGACCGUACCGUAAGAAUAAGCACCGGCUAACUCCGCGCCAGCAGCCGCGGUAAUACGGACGGUGCAAGCGUUAUCCGGAAUCAUUGGGUUUAAAGGGUCCGCAUGCGGUCAAUUAAGUCUCAUGUGACAUCCCUCAGCUUAACUGUGGAACUGCCUUUGAUACUGGUUGACUUGAGUUAUACUGAAGUACAUCGAAUAUGUAGUGUAGCGGUGAAAUGCAUAGAUAUUACAUAGAAUACCGAUUGCCAAACAGUCUACUACGUAUAUACUGACGCUCAUGGACGAAAGCGUGUGGAGCGAACAUGAUUAGAUACCCUGGUAGUCCACGCCGUAUACGAUGGACACUACUUGUUGGAAUUAUUCAGUGACUAAGCGAAAGUGAUAAGUGUCCCACCUGGGGAGAACCGUCGCAAGAUUCACACUCAUAUGAAUUGACCCGGGGCCCGCAUAUGCGCUGGAGCAUGCGGAUUAACUCUAUGAUACUCGAGGAUACCUUACGCAUGCUGUAAACUGUAGUAGUG
Molecule: ribosomal RNA, 989 nt
Filed under: uncultured bacterium
Lineage: Bacteria
Description: bacterial SSU rRNA
Rfam family: Bacterial small subunit ribosomal RNA
Source: RNAcentral